GAUUUCUUUGUGAAUCACCAUA
Molecule: microRNA, 22 nt
Filed under: Dasypus novemcinctus (nine-banded armadillo)
Lineage: Eukaryota; Metazoa; Chordata; Mammalia; Cingulata; Dasypodidae
Also listed under: 12 other names
Description: Dno-Mir-876-v1_5p* (star (passenger))
Source: RNAcentral